AGUUGCUGCAGUUAAAAAGCUCGUAGUUGAAUUUCUGUUUGUUAGAGUCGAGUCUUCCAAGACGAGAUCUCUUCGGACAUCUGUUUGCAAUCAUAUGUUCGGUCUUCAUUGAUUGACUAUGUGAGCAAACGUUUUACCUUGAGAAAAUUAGAGUGUUCCAGGCAGGCUUCAGCCGGAAUACAUUAGCAUGGAAUAAUGGAAUAGGACUGGGGACUAUUUUUGGUUUGAGGCUCCAGUAAUGAUUAAUAGGAACAGUCGGGGGCAUUAGUACUUGACAGUCAGAGGUGAAAUUCUUGGAUUUGUCAAAGACUAACUAAUGCGAAAGCAUUUGCCAAGCAUGUUUUCAUUAAUCAAGAACGAAAGUUAGGGGAUCAAAGACGAUUAGAUACCGUCCUAGUCUUAACUGUAAACGAUUCCAUCUUGGAAUUGGGCGGAUAUAUUAUGAUUCGUCCAGCGCCAUAAGAGAAAUCAAAGUCUUUGGGUUCUUGGUGGAGUACGAUCGCAAGAUUGAAACUUAAAGGAAUUGACGGUUUUGCACACCAUGGAGUGGAGCCUGUGGCUUAAUUUGACUCAACACUGGGAAACUCAUCAGGACAAAAAAGUUUUAGGAUUGACAGAUUGAUAGCUCUUUC
This 632-nucleotide ribosomal RNA is filed under the name uncultured eukaryote. RNAcentral's name for it is "SSU rRNA". It matches the Rfam family "Eukaryotic small subunit ribosomal RNA", at positions 608 to 1261 of the family's 1831-position model. The record is from RNAcentral.